AACGCGAAGAACCUUACCAAGGCUUGACAUACACUGGAAAACCCUAGAGAUAGGGUCCCCCUUGUGGUCGGUGUACAGGUGGUGCAUGGUUGUCGUCAGCUCGUGUCGUGAGAUGUUGGGUUAAGUCCCGCAACGAGCGCAACCCUCGUUCUGUGUUGCCAGCGGGUUAUGCCGGGGACUCACAGGAGACUGCCGGGGUCAACUCGGAGGAAGGUGGGGAUGACGUCAAAUCAUCAUGCCCCUUAUGUCUUGGGCUGCACACGUGCUACAAUGGCCGGUACAAAGAGCUGCGAUGCCGUGAGGCGGAGCGAAUCUCAAAAAGCCGGUCUCAGUUCGGAUUGGGGUCUGCAACUCGACCCCAUGAAGUCGGAGUUGCUAGUAAUCGCAGAUCAGCAUUGCUGCGGUGAAUACGUUCCCGGGCCUUGUACACACCG
RNAcentral lists this ribosomal RNA (434 nucleotides) under Streptacidiphilus jiangxiensis. Its description in RNAcentral is "bacterial SSU rRNA". It matches the Rfam family "Bacterial small subunit ribosomal RNA", at positions 958 to 1392 of the family's 1533-position model. Lineage: Bacteria; Bacillati; Actinomycetota; Actinomycetes; Kitasatosporales; Streptomycetaceae. The record is from RNAcentral.